This 429-nucleotide ribosomal RNA is filed under the name Chloroflexota bacterium. Its description in RNAcentral is "Chloroflexi bacterium partial 16S ribosomal RNA". It matches the Rfam family "Bacterial small subunit ribosomal RNA", at positions 355 to 776 of the family's 1533-position model. Lineage: Bacteria; Bacillati; Chloroflexota. The record is from RNAcentral.
UGGGGAAUAUUGCACAAUGGGCGCAAGCCUGAUGCAGCCAUGCCGCGUGUAUGAAGAAGGCCUUCGGGUUGUAAAGUACUUUCAGUCGGGAGGAAGGUGGUAAGGUUAAUAACCUUAUCAAUUGACGUUACCGACAGAGGAAGCACCGGCUAACUCCGUGCCAGCAGCCGCGGUAAUACGGAGGGUGCAAGCGUUAAUCGGAAUUACUGGGCGUAAAGCGAACGCAGGCGGUUGAUUGAGUCAGAUGUGAAAUCCCCGGGCUUAACCCGGGAAUUGCAUCUGAUACUGGUCAGCUAGAGUCUUGUAGAGGGGGGUAGAAUUCCAUGUGUAGCGGUGAAAUGCGUAGAGAUGUGGAGGAAUACCGGUGGCGAAGGCGGCCCCCUGGACAAAGACUGACGCUCAGGUGCGAAAGCGGGGGGAGCAAACAGG